GACGUAGGAUGCGAGCGUUGUCCGGAUUUAUUGGGCGUAAAGAGUUCGUAGGUGGUUCAUUAAGUCUGGUGUUAAAGACCGGGGCUCAACCUCGGGAUCGCACUGGAUACUGGUGGACUGGAGUGCAGUAGAGGCAAGCGGAAUUCCCAGUGUAGCGGUGAAAUGCGUAGAUAUUGGGAAGAACACCGGUGGCGCAAGCGGCUUGCUGGGCUGUAACUGACACUGAGGAACGAAAGCUAGGGGAGCAAAUGGG
Molecule: ribosomal RNA, 253 nt
Filed under: uncultured bacterium
Lineage: Bacteria
Also listed under: 1 other name
Description: partial 16S ribosomal RNA
Rfam family: Bacterial small subunit ribosomal RNA
Source: RNAcentral